Molecule: ribosomal RNA, 432 nt
Filed under: Triticum aestivum (bread wheat)
Lineage: Eukaryota; Viridiplantae; Streptophyta; Magnoliopsida; Poales; Poaceae
Description: partial small subunit ribosomal RNA
Source: RNAcentral
AUGAUGCCAACAGCUUCGCCCUGGGCACGAUCCAUCAGGUCGAAAAUGAUGGAAAUAGCUACCACACGCCAACACGAACUAGGAGUCUUCCGUUUUGUAUAUGAGCCCGAGUGUGAUCCUAAUUUACAACCCAAAAUUGGUAUGCAAUUUGACACCUGGGAGGAAGGUAUGGCAUUCUACAAAAUGUAUGCUCAUGAAGUCGGGUUCUCAGUUCGCACAUGGACGACACACAAAGAUGAACAUGGUGUAGUGUGGAAGAGGUUCGUUUGUGCUAGGGAGGGUUGGAGGAAGGUGGCCCGCGAAGAGGAAAGAAUAAAGCCUAAGCGAAAAUUCAAGUUAACCAGGUGUGGUUGUGAGGCUAUGAUUGGAGGAAGGUGGCUUAAUGUAGAUUUGAAGAUUUGGUUUGCCUUUCUGUGUUACUGUCAAUUGUAG